UGGGGAAUAUUGCACAAUGGGCGCAAGCCUGAUGCAGCCAUGCCGCGUGUAUGAAGAAGGCCUUCGGGUUGUAAAGUACUUUCAGCGGGGAGGAAGGGAGUAAAGUUAAUACUUUUGCUCAUUGACGUUACCCGCAGAAGAAGCACCGGCUAACUCCGUGCCAGCAGCCGCGGUAAUACGGAGGGUGCAAGCGUUAAUCGGAAUUACUGGGCGUAAAGCGCACGCAGGCGGUUGAUUGAGUCAGAUGUGAAAUCCCCGGGCUUAACCCGGGAAUUGCAUCUGAUACUGGUCAGCUAGAGUCUUGUAGAGGGGGGUAGAAUUCCAUGUGUAGCGGUGCAAUGCGUAGAGAUGUGGAGGAAUACCGGUGGCGGAGGCGGCCCCCUGGACAAAGGCUGACGCUCAGGUGCGAAAGCGUGGGGAGCAAACAGG
This 429-nucleotide ribosomal RNA is filed under the name Chloroflexota bacterium. RNAcentral's name for it is "Chloroflexi bacterium partial 16S ribosomal RNA". It matches the Rfam family "Bacterial small subunit ribosomal RNA", at positions 355 to 776 of the family's 1533-position model. The record is from RNAcentral. Lineage: Bacteria; Bacillati; Chloroflexota.